Molecule: transfer RNA, 70 nt
Filed under: Trigonopterus carinirostris
Lineage: Eukaryota; Metazoa; Arthropoda; Insecta; Coleoptera; Curculionidae
Description: tRNA-Met
Rfam family: tRNA
About the family: Transfer RNA (tRNA) molecules are approximately 80 nucleotides in length. Their secondary structure includes four short double-helical elements and three loops (D, anti-codon, and T loops).
Source: RNAcentral
UAAAAGAUAAGCUAACUAAGCUAGUGGGUUCAUACCCCAUAAAUAAAGGUUUAUAGUCCUUUUCUUUUUA